GAGGGUAGAGCUCAGUGCUAGGGUGCUUGCUUAGCAUGCAUGAGGCCUUGGGUUCAAUCCCCAAUACUGCCA
RNAcentral lists this transfer RNA (72 nucleotides) under Camelus bactrianus (Bactrian camel). It matches the Rfam family "tRNA". From Rfam's summary of the family: Transfer RNA (tRNA) molecules are approximately 80 nucleotides in length. Their secondary structure includes four short double-helical elements and three loops (D, anti-codon, and T loops). The record is from Rfam by way of RNAcentral. RNAcentral also lists the same sequence under 2 other names. Lineage: Eukaryota; Metazoa; Chordata; Mammalia; Artiodactyla; Camelidae.